CCUACGGGAGGCUGCAGUAGGGAAUUUUCGGCAAUGGGGGGAACCCUGACCGAGCAACGCCGCGUGAACGAAGAAGUAUUUCGGUAUGUAAAGUUCUUUUAUUGGAGAAGAAAGAGAAAUUUGACGGUAACCAAUGAAUAAGCUCCAGCUAACUACGUGCCAGCAGCCGCUGUAAUACGUAGGGAGCGAGCGUUAUCCGGAAUUAUUGGGCUGAAGGGUUGCGUAGAUGGUUGAUAUAGGUCUUUUGUAAAAAGGCUAGGCUAAACCUAGUAGGGCAAAAGAUACUGAUGAACUAGAGUACGGCAGAGGCAAGUGGAACUACAGGUGUAGCGGUAAAAUGCGUAAAUAUAUGUAAGAACACCGGUGGCGAAGGCGGCUUGCUGGGCCUGUACUGACAUUGAGGCACGAAAGCGUGGGGAGCAAACAGGAUUAGAUACCCGGGUAGUC
This 447-nucleotide ribosomal RNA is filed under the name uncultured bacterium. Its description in RNAcentral is "partial 16S ribosomal RNA". It matches the Rfam family "Bacterial small subunit ribosomal RNA", at positions 338 to 795 of the family's 1533-position model. The record is from RNAcentral.